This 229-nucleotide long non-coding RNA is filed under the name Elaeis guineensis (African oil palm). RNAcentral describes it as "long non-coding RNA (EGUI_LNC073718)". The record is from RNAcentral. Lineage: Eukaryota; Viridiplantae; Streptophyta; Magnoliopsida; Arecales; Arecaceae.
UCCGAAAUCAAUGAUUAUACACAAGGCAUAAUUCAUAUCAGGCUUGGUACAUUGAAUAUAUGGGUAAGUAAACACCUUUACACCUAUUCAUGUUGAACCCUUUUAAUAUUAAAUUCUAUGUAUCUAGACUGGGACAAACCCUACAUCCACUUACAUUUAUCCCUAUAGAUAUCAAAUAUAUUAGAUACUUUACCCAAGUCCUUUUUCCAUGAAAACUUCUAUGAUAAGC